CUUGUGACAGCCAGCUGGAGCAGCGCGUGUCGCGCCUCAUGCCGCUCGCCGGCGUCGGCCGCAUGGACGAGCUGCGCGGUUCCAGCUCGUCCGUCUCCACAGGUGUGCUCAGCCCCGGCUCGCACGACUCGUUCGUGGACGAGGGCGCCGACUCACCCUACGAGCACUACUCGGACAGCGACAGUGACGCAGGCUCGGCGCUGGGCGAUGAGGCGCUGAGCUCAUCACUCAGCCGAAAGGAGCGCUACUUCUGGC
This is a long non-coding RNA of Pollicipes pollicipes, 255 nucleotides long. RefSeq lists it as uncharacterized. Lineage: Eukaryota; Metazoa; Arthropoda; Thecostraca; Pollicipedomorpha; Pollicipedidae. The record is from RefSeq and is a predicted model, not a curated record. The transcript has 3 exons.